CAGUCGCCACGGUAAUACGUAGGUGGCAAGCGUUGUCCGGAAUUAUUGGGCGUAAAGGGCUCGCAGGCGGUUUCUUAAGUCUGAUGUGAAAGCCCCCGGCUCAAUCGGGGAGGGUCAUUGGAAACUGGGAAACUUGAGUGCAGAAGAGGAGAGUGGAAUUCCACGUGUAGCGGUGAAAUGCGUAGAGAUGUGGAGGAACACCAGUGGCGAAGGCGACUCUCUGGUCUGUAACUGACGCUGAGGAGCGAAAGCGUGGGGAGCGAACAGGAUUAGAUACCCCUGUAGUCCCUGUCUCUUAUAC
Molecule: ribosomal RNA, 301 nt
Filed under: uncultured bacterium
Lineage: Bacteria
Description: partial 16S ribosomal RNA
Rfam family: Bacterial small subunit ribosomal RNA
Source: RNAcentral